AGUGAACGCUGGCGGCGUGCUUAACACAUGCAAGUCGAACGGUAACAGGAACUAGCUUGCUAGUUUGCUGACGAGUGGCGCACGGGUGAGUAAUAUAUAGUUAAUGUACCCCAAAGACUGGGAUAGCCACUGGAAACGGUGAUUAAUACUAGAUACACCUCUUUAAUAUAAGUUAGAGAGGGAAAUGUUUUUUCGCUUUGGGAUCAGACUAUAUCCUAUCAGUUAGUUGGUGAGGUAAUGGCUCACCAAGGCAAUGACGGGUAGCGGUUCUGAGAGGAUGAUCCGCCACACUGGUACUGAGACACGGACCAGACUCCUACGGGAGGCAGCAGUGAGGAAUAUUGCACAAUGGGGGGAACCCUGAUGCAGCAACGCCGCGUGGAGGAUGACGCAUUUCGGUGUGUAAACUCCUUUUAUAUGUCAAGAAAUGACGGUAGCAUAUGAAUAAGCACCGGCUAACUCCGUGCCAGCAGCCGCGGUAAAGU
This 485-nucleotide ribosomal RNA is filed under the name uncultured bacterium. RNAcentral describes it as "bacterial SSU rRNA". It matches the Rfam family "Bacterial small subunit ribosomal RNA", at positions 29 to 526 of the family's 1533-position model. The record is from RNAcentral.